UGUGCUGCCCGCCGCAGGGAGGGAGCCAAUGCCGACGAGUCUAUUUAUUCGUACCUACGGUCCAUUGACAACUCACUAUCGAGGUUGGAUGGCUGUAUAUCGGGUUUAGAUAGUUGUGUAUCCAGUAUGGAGGAAAACAUGACUGACAUGAAAGGGCAAUUGUCGGCCAUCCUGUCAUUGUUGCAGUCUAUGUGCAAGGGUUCCACGGUGAAUGAGGAGAUGACCAGGUCACUCAUCUCAUCUCGGGAUCCCGAUACGACUACGACUGCCUCUGACACUCCCAUCCUCAUCCCCCCUUUACAGCCCGAUACCACCACUUCACCUACUCCUACCCCCCUGUACAGCCCGAUACCACCACUGCCAUGACAUCACCAAUUGACGUCAAACCUAUACAGGCCGACGUCUCACAAACAAAGUCCGACAUGUCUACCUUACUCACCAUGCCACAUACAGAGGCUGACAUGUCUGGCAUCCCAGAGGCCGAUGCUUCUGGGAUUGUUACGACCACAGAAGAAGUUCCACUGAAAUCUCGAAGAAUUAGUCAUAAGAGAAAACUGGUUGGUAAAUAUACACCCCCAGCCCAAAUAAAGAAGAAAAGUGUGGUUGAACAUCCUUUCCCAGGUGUAGCUACGUCAAUAUCCAGAUCGAUCGUCACAUAUAACGUAGCACACGAUGUUCCACACAAUAUCCUGAUAGAAAUGAUGGGAUGGAUCUCGAACGACAAUACAGACAACGAGGUUUGAGAGAACUCCUUUAAACCACUCGCGAAGCAAUUCUUUAAGGAAUUGAUUACCCCGAAUUCGUUGGUCGAGUGCGAUACCAUAAAUACUUUAUUUUAUUUUAUGAAAGAUAAAUUUUAUACCCGACCCGACAUAUGCAUGCACAAGUUCACCAUUUUGCCAAUUGGUGUAACGAGUCACCUUAAUGCUCAUGGCGGGGUAUUUAAAUGAAUAAAGAAUAAGUCACUUCUGGAGGCUGCCCUAUUAUAGGAAGAUAAAGACACGUAUAAGGACUACGUCACUGGUAAAUUCGAUGUCAAAUGGGCAGAUGUGGAUUUUGUUUAUACGGCGAUGAAUAUCAGUGACCACUGGAUGGUCCUUGCAAUGGACAUUAACAGAGGCCACAUUCGUGUUCGAUUCACUUCUGUCAUACACACCAAUGACAAAGCUGGUGAAUUGGCUGGAGCCAUUGAUGGUCCCUACUUCACUAAUGUGAUGUGGAUCGAUCGAAGCCGGACCUGUCCACAGCCCCUUGGAAAAUCUCGUGACCUAUGGACAUCGACAAACAACACGGGUCGCUUGAUUGUGGCAUCUUCGCAAUCAAACUAUUGGAACACCUGGUGACUGGUGCUGAUCCAUCCUAAUCACUCAGGAGAAGAUAAAUGAAUAUAGGAUGCAAUUAGCGUGUCAACU
Molecule: non-coding RNA, 1412 nt
Organism: Benincasa hispida (wax gourd)
Lineage: Eukaryota; Viridiplantae; Streptophyta; Magnoliopsida; Cucurbitales; Cucurbitaceae
Source: RefSeq, a predicted model, not a curated record